UACGUAGGGUGCGAGCGUUGUCCGGAAUUAUUGGGCGUAAAGAGCUCGUAGGCGGUGUGUCACGUCGGCCGUGAAAACCUGCAGCUUAACUGUGGGCGUGCGGUCGAUACGGGCAUCACUGGAGUUCGGCAGGGGAGACUGGAAUUCCUGGUGUAGCGGUGAAAUGCGCAGAUAUCAGGGGGAACACCGGUGGCGAAGGCGGUUCUCUGGGCAUGUCCUGACGCUGAGGAGCGAAAGUGUGGGGAGCGAACAGG
This 254-nucleotide ribosomal RNA is filed under the name uncultured bacterium. Its description in RNAcentral is "partial 16S ribosomal RNA". It matches the Rfam family "Bacterial small subunit ribosomal RNA", at positions 524 to 776 of the family's 1533-position model. The record is from RNAcentral.